CCUACGGGUGGCAGCAGUGAGGAAUAUUGGUCAAUGGGCGAGAGCCUGAACCAGCCAAGUCGCGUGAGGGAGUACUGCCCUAUGGGUUGUAAACCUCUUUUGUCGGGGAGCAAAAGCCGGACGUGUCCGGCUGUGAGAGUACCCUAAGAAAAAGCAUCGGCUAACUCCGUUCCAGCAGCCGCGGUAAUACGGGGGAUGCGAGCGUUAGCCGGAUUUAUUGGGUUUAAAGGGUGCGCAGGCGGAUUUUUAAGUCCGAGGUAAAAUCGUGGGGCGCAACCCCAUCCAGCCGUUGAAACUGGGGAUCUAGAGGGGGAGAGAGGUAGGCGGAAUGCGUGGUGUAGCGGUGAAAUGCAUAGAUAUCACGCAGAACCCCGAUUGCGAAGGCAGCAUACCGGUGCAAAACUGACGCUCAGGCACGAAAGCGUGGGUAUCGAACAGGAUUAGAUACCCGGGUAGUC
Molecule: ribosomal RNA, 458 nt
Filed under: uncultured bacterium
Lineage: Bacteria
Description: partial 16S ribosomal RNA
Rfam family: Bacterial small subunit ribosomal RNA
Source: RNAcentral